UAUAUAUACUGCUAAUUUCAAGGGGCGCCGUCCAACAUGGAUCUAAUAGGAUCUUUGAGAGAGCAGGCGGUGGAAAACCAAAAGCGGUUCCCCCCCUACGUCUUGCUAGUCAUGUUGCCUUUACCAAGGAUGGCUGUGUCUUACAACAGCCGAUCCCGGGAACAAGCUAAUAACUACCAAUUAUAAACCGAUUAUAAAUGAGUAUAAAAGUACAUAG
This is a non-coding RNA of Cinara cedri, 217 nucleotides long. The record is from the annotation of a GenBank genome assembly. Lineage: Eukaryota; Metazoa; Arthropoda; Insecta; Hemiptera; Aphididae.